UGGCGGACGGGUGAGUAACGCGUGGAAAACCUGCCGUAUACCGGGGGAUAACACUUAGAAAUAGGUGCUAAUACCGCAUAAGCGCACAGCUUCGCAUGAAGCGGUGUGAAAAACUCUGGUGGUAUACGAUGGUUCCGCGUCUGAUUAGCUAGUUGGUGGGGUAAUGGCCUACCAAGGCAACGAUCAGUAGCCGGCCUGAGAGGGUGAACGGCCACAUUGGGACUGAGACACGGCCCAAACUCCUACGGAAGGCAGCAG
RNAcentral lists this ribosomal RNA (258 nucleotides) under uncultured bacterium. Its description in RNAcentral is "partial 16S ribosomal RNA". It matches the Rfam family "Bacterial small subunit ribosomal RNA", at positions 96 to 354 of the family's 1533-position model. The record is from RNAcentral.